GACGAACGCUGGCGGCGUGCUUAACACAUGCAAGUCGAACGGAAAGGCCCUGCUUUUGUGGGGUGCUCGAGUGGCGAACGGGUGAGUAACACGUGAGUAACCUGCCCUUGACUUUGGGAUAACUUCAGGAAACUGGGGCUAAUACCGGAUAGGAGCUCCUGCUGCAUGGUGGGGGUUGGAAAGUUUCGGCGGUUGGGGAUGGACGCGCGGCUUAUCAGCUUGUUGGUGGGGUAGUGGCUUACCAAGGCUUUGACGGGUAGUCGGCCUGAGAGGGUGACCGGCCACAUUGGGACUGAGAUACGGCCCAGACUCCUACGGGAGGCAGCAGUGGGGAAUAUUGCACAAUGGGCGGAAGCCUGAUGCAGCAACGCCGCGUGCGGGAUGACGGCCUUCGGGUUGUAAACCGCUUUCGCCUGUGACGAAGCGUGAGUGACGGUAAUGGGUAAAGAAGCACCGGCUAACUACGUG
This 468-nucleotide ribosomal RNA is filed under the name uncultured bacterium. RNAcentral's name for it is "partial 16S ribosomal RNA". It matches the Rfam family "Bacterial small subunit ribosomal RNA", at positions 28 to 507 of the family's 1533-position model. The record is from RNAcentral.